RNAcentral lists this long non-coding RNA (409 nucleotides) under Phasianus colchicus (ring-necked pheasant). RNAcentral describes it as "lncRNA (ENSPCLG00000002347.1)". The record is from RNAcentral. Lineage: Eukaryota; Metazoa; Chordata; Aves; Galliformes; Phasianidae.
GAUUCCUGGUGAUCACAGUGCUGUCCUGAAACAUUGGCUCUCUCCUACUUUUCAGACCUGCAGAAAAAGCCUCAUCAAAACAGACGCCUUCCUGAAAAACCUCUGACUAGUGAAGCAGCCUGUUUCCUGUAUGAUAAAUGAAUAGUAUGUCCUAACCAGCCCUAAUGUGCAGGAUAUGGGUGUAACUUUGAGAGAUGUCCCUAGACAAGGGGAGAUCCUGUCAUGCAGCCUGCUGUUGUAUAAGAAGUACAGAUGAAAAGAGCUUCCUUACUGCAUUCCUGUUGGAGCUUAAAGCCUUUACAAUGGUUUAUUGAUGAACUACUAUUUUGAAAAUCAAGACUGCUGAGGCUUAAGAUUGUAGUGACAAUUACAUGGUAUUUUGUUGCUAAGUUAACAAUUUGCAUGGGAC